CCUACGGGACGCAGCAGUGAGGAAUAUUGGUCAAUGGGCGAGAGCCUGAACCAGCCAAGUCGCGUGAAGGAUGACGGCCCUACGGGUUGUAAACUUCUUUUGUCAGGGAGCAAUUGGGUCCACGUGUGACUCAUUGAGAGUACCCGAAGAAAAAGCAUCGGCUAACUCCGUGCCAGCAGCCGCGGUAAUACGGAGGAUGCGAGCGUUAUCCGGAUUUAUUGGGUUUAAAGGGUGCGCAGGCGGAGGUGCAAGUCAGCGGUCAAAUUGCGGGGCUCAACCCCGUACUGCCGUUGAAACUGCAUCCC
This 305-nucleotide ribosomal RNA is filed under the name uncultured bacterium. Its description in RNAcentral is "bacterial SSU rRNA". It matches the Rfam family "Bacterial small subunit ribosomal RNA", at positions 338 to 641 of the family's 1533-position model. The record is from RNAcentral.